This 480-nucleotide ribosomal RNA is filed under the name Vibrio parahaemolyticus. RNAcentral describes it as "bacterial LSU rRNA". It matches the Rfam family "Bacterial large subunit ribosomal RNA", at positions 1 to 524 of the family's 2925-position model. The record is from RNAcentral. Lineage: Bacteria; Pseudomonadati; Pseudomonadota; Gammaproteobacteria; Vibrionales; Vibrionaceae.
GUUGUAUGGUUAAGUGACUAAGCGUACACGGUGGAUGCCUUGGCAGUCAGAGGCGAUGAAGGACGUAUUAACUUGCGAUAAGCCCAGAUUAGGCAGUAAAAGCCACUUGAGUCUGGGAUUUCCGAAUGGGGAAACCCACUUACAUAAGUAAGUAUCAUUAACUGAAUACAUAGGUUAAUGAAGCGAACCGGGGGAACUGAAACAUCUAAGUACCCCGAGGAAAAGAAAUCAACCGAGAUUCCGAAAGUAGCGGCGAGCGAAAUUGGACUAGCCCUUAAGCUUUAUAUGCGUUAGACGAACGGUCUGGAAAGUCCGGCGAUACAGGGUGAUAGCCCCGUAGUUGACAACGCACAUUCAGUGAAAUCGAGUAGGGCGGGACACGUGAUAUCCUGUCUGAAUAUGGGGGGACCAUCCUCCAAGGCUAAAUACUACUGACUGACCGAUAGUGAACCAGUACCGUGAGGGAAAGGCGAAAAGAAC